AUGAAUUCUGAGCCUUCAACACUAGGCCAAAUCACUUCAAAAUGAUCCUUGAAUCAUGUGAACUCAUUGCCCCAACCCUAGGGCUUUGAUCUCAUGGACAAUGCUCUUGCUUGCUUGCAUAGUUGAAUCUCCUAACCAGUCUUGCCUGAUGACAUGAUGGACUAUGCAAUGACAAUGCAAUGUUAAUGACCUAAACAUGAAAUGUAUAUACAAAUGGGAGGUGCAAAUUUGAGGUGCUACAUAUGGCAUGCUCUUUCCUACCUGUCUCGUCAUGUUGACCGAGAACACAACCCAUGAAAUUGUCUAGUACUGUGAAAUACAUAAUCAGCGGUCUCCCUGGGACCGGAGGCACAAG
This 355-nucleotide long non-coding RNA is filed under the name Lathyrus oleraceus (garden pea). Its description in RNAcentral is "Pisum sativum (pea) long non-coding RNA (PSAT_LNC027765)". Lineage: Eukaryota; Viridiplantae; Streptophyta; Magnoliopsida; Fabales; Fabaceae. The record is from RNAcentral.